Molecule: long non-coding RNA, 1145 nt
Filed under: Brassica rapa (field mustard)
Lineage: Eukaryota; Viridiplantae; Streptophyta; Magnoliopsida; Brassicales; Brassicaceae
Description: long non-coding RNA (BRAP_LNC005665)
Source: RNAcentral
GAAGAAAAGUGUUCCCAAACUCAAUCUGUUGUUGAUCUCGUCAUCAACUUUUCUUCUUAUCUUUCUACCGACAGUAUGAUGAAUUUCCUUCUCAAGUGAAGCUUUUUGCUUGCUCCUCUCUUGAAAUUAUUAUCAUACAACUGCGCAUCCACGAUCUGUCUGUUUUACUCUUUUAUUUCUUAAACAACACACAUCGUUAGACAAACUCUCCUACAAAAUACUAAUAAUAAUAAUAAUGUCAAAGCUCUCGUCUUUAAACGUUCUAUAGGCUAAUAGGAUUCAAAGGCAAGACCUUUUCUCAGUUCCAUUAACUGUAAACACACUAACAGAAAAAUCCCAGAAAAAAUAUAUUGAAUUCAGACAGUACCUGUUUUUAAGAUGUAGGACCCUCGAGUGUAGUUGUCACGGUGUCGACAGAACUGGGAAAAAUCCAAUGCUAGAAAGAUCAAGACACAAGGAUAGAUGAGAGAGAAGCAAAUCGGAAAAGUCUAGUAAGAACGUACACGUUACUGUGUCUCCUUCUCCAAGCUUCUAAAACGACGACGGAGAAGACGAUCAGCACCAGCGUGAGGCCGAGUUCUACGACUGUAAAUCGGAAACAGAGAGACUGAGUGGUGAGAGAUUGAGUGGUGAAGUAUAAUAAUAAACUAAUACCUGACUUUCAAAUGUAGAGAACAACAAAUUGUCAUUGUGUUAUGAAUCUGGAGUCGAGGGUUCAUAUUUUAGAUAACUCAGGCUGGAAUGACAAUAGUUAACGGACCUGUCUUAUCAUAUCAUCAAGGGGUUUAUAUAACAGGAAAAACAAAGGAAGGUGGAACGAUAAUCUCUAAUGAAGAUAGGAGAAAAUAUCAGAAUUGAAUGAGCAAGAUUGGGGUGUAAUAAUUACAGAGAGAUUGCAGAGAUUAGAAUAGUGAAUUGGAAGAGUCGGAGUUGAAGGCGACGAACAUUCUGCGUAGAAUAAGAUAUGGGCUGUUCUAUAUAGGCCUAUUUUUUUUUUGUUCAGCCCAGAUUUACUGGACCUUUUAAAUUUUUUGUCGACAAAAUAAAAGUGACGUGGCAAAACAGAGCUUCAUGAUUGGCCUGAAUAAAAAAUCCUACGUGGCACGCUCGUUGCUCUUCUUAUUCGGCUUUUAGUAGUGUUAGAU